RNAcentral lists this long non-coding RNA (1951 nucleotides) under Phoenix dactylifera (date palm). RNAcentral's name for it is "long non-coding RNA (PDAC_LNC012974)". The record is from RNAcentral. Lineage: Eukaryota; Viridiplantae; Streptophyta; Magnoliopsida; Arecales; Arecaceae.
GUAAACCCCGGACCAGAUGGACCGAAGUCGGCGGUCCAUCUGGUGAUUUUGGGAUUAAGGCGGUGGAGAACCGCAGCUGUUAAGGCAGUUAAAACUGCCUAACAGCCGCGAUCCCCCACCCCUUUGAGGCGGACGAAGGCUUAUAAAAGCCCUGGAGUCCGCUGAGGGGGACUCCAUUGAUCAUCUUCUCACUUUCCUUGUUCUUCUUCCUCUGUGCAAGGAGUCGGAUCGGGAGCUGUGGUGCCGGAGGGGGAAGGAUUUCCAGCUCGCCACCUCGUGGUGCCGCCAGAGCAAACAGAGGAGCUCGCCGGAAUCCUUCACGGCUCAUCGGAGCUAGGUAAUCCCUUAACCCCCUUGCUUUUCAUUAACGGUUUACCUACUGUUGGCCUAGAUUUAAAUUAGUUAGGGUUGAUUUACAGAGGAAGAAGGGUAGGGAGAAGAUGAAGAGAAGGAAGGAGAAGGAUCUAACCAAUGAUCGGCUGUGAUCCGACAUUGGCCGAGGAUCCUCCUCCUUCACCCGACGGUAGUUUCCUCCCCAUUAAAACCCUAGAUCUAAAAUUCAAAGAUGAACCUACCUCUCGAUUCAUGGGAGGGAUCCUUGGCUCGUGUAGGUCCGGUUUCCAUGGGUGGAGCCGGCUGGAACUGGACCGGAGAUGGUCGGAGCAGACGAGCCGAAGGGGGAUCUUCCUGUUUCGGCCGUCGUGACACCGCCGGGCCGACCGCAGGUGUCGGCGUAUGCCACCUGCUUUGGCGGUUCUGUCGCUCCACGGCAGGUGGUCGGGCUCCAUCUCUUCCGCCGGAAGUAGAGGAGGAGAACCUCGGUUGGGCCGUGGCUGCUGCAGGUGGAACCACGGCCGCCGCCGGUGCCAUCGGUUGGCUGCAACGCCACCGAUCUCGAGCCGGCCUCCUCCCGAAUGCCUUCCGAGCACCGUCCGAGCUUGCCUCCGGGUUUCAUGGGGGAAGAGUAGAAGAGGAAGAGGAGCUCGGGGAGGGAAGAAGAAAGAAAGGAAGAGAAGGUUCGGGAGGAGAAGAAAGAAAAAGGAAAAGAAGAAAGAAAAGAAAAAGAAAAUGAAAGAGGGAAAGGGGUUUUCAUGGGCCCAGUAAUCGGGUUUGAAGUUUGGAGGAGUGGGUCAUCUGGGUCAUGAUCCCACCGAGAUGGGAAAUUGGGCUAUUGAAUUUAGGGCCUAAAUGUUCUAAUUACUAAAUUAGGAAACCGUUAAUAUGAAGGAAAAUGCCUUAAUGGGCCUUGGGAUGGCCUCAAAAUAAUUGUAAUUAUGAGGGUUUGAGAUUAGACUGGACCUAAGGAGCCCAAACCUUAAUAGAAGGGUCAAAUUGAAUAUGGGCAAGAUCUUUUAUUUUUUAAUUAAUUAGAUCUGAUAAGGUUUAAAAUUGUGAAUUAACUAAUUAUGUUUCUGGCCCUGAAUACGAAUGGGCCAGUGAGUGAAUCAGGCCAAGGGCCUGAUCCAGCACCCAAUUAAACUUUGGGCCUGAAUGCAAAAGGGCCCUGACUUGAACCCAGGAGCAAUAGGGUCAAACCCGAACCAGAAAGUGACCCAGACCUGAACCAAACUUGGGUCUGACCUGAACCAGAAAAAUUGUUAGACCAAAAUCAGACAUUGGGUCAAACCCAAAUGGAGAAAAUUGAACAGACCUAAAUUGAAAAUUGAACCAGGAUAGAGACCUAAGAAUGAAAUUGAGUCCUAUGGAUGGAUUGUAAGCUGGGUAAUUAAGAAAGAUAGUGAUUAAAUGAAGUCGAAUGCGUAAUUAACAAGUAAUUUAAUGAUGUUGCUAGGUAAUUGAAGAAUUGGUACUCAAACCCAAGGUUGGUGGGCGAAUUAUGUAAGUAACCUGUCUUAAUCUUAUUAUGGAUCAUGUAUCACGUUUUAUAAGAUGAAAAAGUAUUAUUUAUGCAAUUGGAAUUAUGUAUAAGAAUUGUGGAAAAAGUACAUGA